GAUGAACGCUGGCGGCGUGCCUAAUACAUGCAAGUCGAGCGAAUGGAUUAAGAGCUUGCUCUUAUGAAGUUAGCGGCGGACGGGUGAGUAACACGUGGGUAACCUGCCCAUAAGACUGGGAUAACUCCGGGAAACCGGGGCUAAUACCGGAUAACAUUUUGAACCGCAUGGUUCGAAAUUGAAAGGCGGCUUCGGCUGUCACUUAUGGAUGGACCCGCGUCGCAUUAGCUAGUUGGUGAGGUAACGGCUCACCAAGGCAACGAUGCGUAGCCGACCUGAGAGGGUGAUCGCGCACACUGGGACUGAGACACGGCCCAGACUCCUACGGGAGGCAGCAGUAGGGAAUCUUCCGCAAUGGACGAAAGUCUGACGGAGCAACGCCGCGUGAGUGAUGAAGGCUUUCGGGUCGUAAAACUCUGUUGUUAGGGAAGAACAAGUGCUAGUUGAAUAAGCUGGCACCUUGACGGUACCUAACCAGAAAGCCACGGCUAACUACGUGCCAGCAGCCGCGGUAA
RNAcentral lists this ribosomal RNA (515 nucleotides) under uncultured bacterium. RNAcentral's name for it is "partial 16S ribosomal RNA". It matches the Rfam family "Bacterial small subunit ribosomal RNA", at positions 28 to 523 of the family's 1533-position model. The record is from RNAcentral.